RNAcentral lists this ribosomal RNA (492 nucleotides) under uncultured bacterium. RNAcentral describes it as "partial 16S ribosomal RNA". It matches the Rfam family "Bacterial small subunit ribosomal RNA", at positions 29 to 507 of the family's 1533-position model. The record is from RNAcentral.
AGUGAACGCUGGCGGUAGGCCUAACACAUGCAAGUCGAACGGCAGCACAGUAAGAGCUUGCUCUUACGGGUGGCGAGUGGCGGACGGGUGAGGAAUACAUCGGAAUCUACUUUUUCGUGGGGGAUAACGUAGGGAAACUUACGCUAAUACCGCAUACGACCUACGGGUGAAAGCAGGGGAUCUUCGGACCUUGCGCGAUUGAAUGAGCCGAUGUCGGAUUAGCUAGUUGGCGGGGUAAAGGCCCACCAAGGCGACGAUCCGUAGCUGGUCUGAGAGGAUGAUCGGCCACACUGGAACUGAGACACGGUCAAGACUCCUAAGGGAGGCAGCAGUGGGGAAUAUUGGACAAUGGGGGCAAGCCUGAUCCAGCCAUACCGCGUGGGUGAAGAAGGCGUUCGGGUUGUAAAGCCCUUUUGUUGGGAAAGAAAAGCAGCAGGUUAAUACCCCGCUGUUCUGACGGUACCCAAAGAAUAAGCACCGGCUAACUUCGUG